CAUGCAAGUCGUACGAGAAGGCCCACUGAAGCAGAAAGAAGUUGGAGUGCUUGCACAAAGAUGGAUUCAGUGGACGUGGAUUCUCCUUCUAGUGGCAAACGGGUGAGUAACACGUGGGUUACCUACCUCUAAGACUGGGAUACCGUUUGGAAACGAACGUUAAUACCGGAUGUGCUAUACGUAGUAAAGAAGCCCUUAAAGCUUCACUUAGAGAUGGGCCUGCGGCGCAUUAGCUAGUUGGUGAGAUAACAGCCCACCAAGGCGACGAUGCGUAGCCGAACUGAGAGGUUGAUCGGCCACAUUGGGACUGAGACACGGCCCAGACUCCUACGGGAGACAGCAGUUAGGAAUAUUCGUCAAUGGGGGCAACCCUGAACGAGCAAUGCCGCGUGAACGAUGACGGCCCUAUGGGUUGUAAAGUUCUGUUGUUUAGGAAAAAUAGCAUGUGUAGGAAAUGACAUGUGUAUGAUGGUACUAUUCAAGAAAGCCACGGCUAACUACGUGCCAGCAGCUGC
Molecule: ribosomal RNA, 515 nt
Filed under: uncultured bacterium
Lineage: Bacteria
Description: bacterial SSU rRNA
Rfam family: Bacterial small subunit ribosomal RNA
Source: RNAcentral